This 253-nucleotide ribosomal RNA is filed under the name uncultured bacterium. Its description in RNAcentral is "partial 16S ribosomal RNA". It matches the Rfam family "Bacterial small subunit ribosomal RNA", at positions 524 to 776 of the family's 1533-position model. The record is from RNAcentral.
UACGUAGGGUGCAAGCGUUAAUCGGAAUUACUGGGCGUAAAGCGUGCGCAGGCGGUUGUGCAAGACAGAUGUGAAAUCCCCGGGCUUAACCUGGGAAUUGCAUUUGUGACUGCACGGCUAGAGUGUGUCAGAGGGGGGUAGAAUUCCACGUGUAGCAGUGAAAUGCGUAGAGAUCGGAAAGAACACCAACGGCGAAAGCACUCUGCUGGGCCGACACUGACACUGAGAGACGAAAGCUAGGGGAGCGAAUGGG